ACAAAUGAUCAACCAUUUUUAGUCAUUCUUAAAGGAUACAUUUUUCCCCAUUCUAUGGGUAGUUAUUUCAAAACUCUAAAUGUAAUGGUGCAUAAUGAAAGGAUAAGGAAAACAUUAGGGAAAAAAAAAAACCUUGUAUGUAUCCCCACUGUCUCCUUCAGCAGAAAAUUUUUUUUUUCCUAUUUUAUUUGAGGAUGUCACUCUUUGGAAGUCUCCAUUUUAUUCCAGGUGUCUCUAACUACUGUCCUGUGUUGGGUCAAGCAUUGUUUUUUGUUUUUGUUCUUUGGUAUACAUGACCCAUUAAAAUCCAGAUUAUAAACUAUCCUGGCUGGAGCCAGAUCCUACAGAUCUGCACUUUUAUUUAAUGUCUUAUUUCUAAGAAAUCAUCUUAUUCCUUUUUCCCUGCCAGAUCAGCCAUGCAGUUUAAUCCAGUGUAUUUUGUUCUACACUGGGAGAAAUUUUUAUGAUCUCUAGUUCACCAUAUUGCUCAGCUUCCUAAGAGAUUCCCUGGUUCUAAACUGAAGGGCUUAAAUUAAAAGUGAGAUUAAGAGUAGAAAUGUGAGGACAAGUUAGAGUUAUUGCAAUAGCAAAAGUCUAGGCAAGAAAUUGUAGCUUUAACUGCUGUGUACUUGAUAGAAGUAGAUCAAAGUGGAUAGAUUUGAGAGAUACUUAAGUAAAAUCAACAUUACUUGUGGUGAAUUGGAUGUGUGAGUUGGAGAAGGAUGUUAGGGAUAAUGCCUAUGUUCAGGAUAAUGUUCAACUUGUAUAACUGGAUGGACGGCAGUGCUCAUCACUGAAAGAGGAACCUAGUUAAGAAAGUAAAAACUAUGGGUUCUGUUUUGAGCCAAAUAUGGUGCCUUUGAGACCCUACGUGGCAUAUAUGUGUCUGAAGGUCUGAGCUAGAGGUCCAACUCUGAACCAGAAAUAAAAACUCAUUUGACUGUGUAAUUGAACUUCCUGGGCAUGGGUGAAGUUGCCCAGGAAGAGGACACAGAGUGGAACAAAAGCAAGGAUAGGACCAAAUCUUGAGGACCUUAACCUCUAAUGACCAGACAGUGGAGACUGAGCCUGCAGAGACAGAGAAGUGUGGUCAACAAGUUGGUAGGAAGUUUUAAAGAGGGUAGUGUUUCAUUUUAUCCCAUUCUUUCUUAUACCUACAUUCAGCCAUAUUGGCAUUCUCACCAUUCCCUAUAAGCCUUGCUCUUCCUUUCUUCUAGGACUUCAUACAUGCUAUUCCUUCUGCCUUGAAUAUUCUCCAUCCCCUUCUCCCUUUCCAUCUUCCAAUAUUACUUCUGAUGAACUCCCAUACAUCCUUUAAGGUCUAACUCAAAUAUCAGAACUUCUAGGUAGUCUUUCUCAAAUCCUGCCCUAAACCCAUUCUAGACCAAGGUUUAUACCAGGUUUCAUUGUCCUUUUAUCUUCGUUGCAUGUAUCAUAUUGUAUCUCAAUUUUCCUUAGGCUAUUUAACUACAGUACCCUCUUAAUUGCAGGAUGGAUGUCUUGUAUAAUACCACUGUUCUUCCAGUACCUAGCACAGCACUUGGUUCACAGUUGAAUUAUUUUUUAAUAAAAAGACUUAAAGAAAGUAGAUCUCCAACAGGGUGCAGGACGCAUCUGGACAAAGAGAAAUCAAAUGACCACCUAACAUUAGGAAGACCUAAGGUGUUCAUACACACUAAAUCAAGGCAAUUUGGGGCUGCUCACAGGUAACUGUGAGGUAACAAUCAAUAUAUGCUCACACAAUUACCUCUCCCUUUUCCCUUCCACUAGGAGCCAUGAGGUUGUUGCCUUCAGUGACAUCUGCUCUUCCUAUUCCCAUUACAGUCUUGCCCAUAUAUUCUCAAUUAUAUGUUACAUAAAUAAAAUAUUAUGGGAUGAAUGUUGUGGUCUGUAUGGAGAAGACAUCAUGUGAUUUGUCUUUAAUCCUUUGGCUUUCAAAACAAUUCCCUGCAGAUAACAACACUGAAGAAAUUAAAUGAAUUCAACUAAGAAAACUAAGGAAAUACAUGGCAUGAGGGUUAAUGAGUCAACAUCAGGGUCUCAACACCUGCAGUGGAGAAAAGCCCUCUUCCCUCCAGACCUUUCCACACUCCUGCAGUCUACAGAGGAAUGGCCCUUCCUGGGGAAAAUCCGUAACUGCUCUUGGAAGUCUGGGAAGUCCAAGAUCAAGGUACUGCCAAAGUCAGCGUCUACAGAAGGUUGGCUCUCCUUUCACGACAGUGCCUUGUUGCCGCAUUUUCACAUGGUGGAAGGAGAGACGGCAAAAGAGAUAAAUGCUGUGUCUUCACGUGGCAGAAGAGGUGGAGGGCUGAAUUUGUCCCCUCAAGCUCUUUGAGUCUUGCUCCAUCGCCCAGGCUGGAGUGAUAUGGUGCGAUCUCGGCUCACUGCAACCUCCGCCUCCCAGGUUCAAGCAAUUCUCCUGCCUCAGCCUGCUGAGUAGCUGGGAUUACAGGCUCUGUAUUUAAGGAAAUGUGACAACAUAAGUGGAUCGAGCCAUAUGAGUUUGGACAACCAGGCAGCUAUGAUGUGGCAGAACCUAGGAGUGACAAGCUCCAAUGGAUAGACCCUGUCUUGGGAGUUUAGUAGAGAUGUGCAUGGAAUUUGAAAUCAGAUAAACUCAGGUCUUGUUGCAUGAGGCAAAUUACUUCUCUCUGAUCCUCUGAAUCAUCAUCUCUAAGAUGGUUUUAUUAUAUGGAUUGCUCACUUUGAGGAUUACCAAAUACCAGAUGCUGAAUAAGCAGUUAAUAAAUGAAAGUUAUUAUGAUCCAUAAUUCUCAUCUCUUCUUCCUGAUGUCACUUAACAAUAUGUUCUAAAGAUAUAUAAUAAAGAUUGAGAGCUGUUUUUUAUAUUGCAAA
Homo sapiens (human) is the source of this 2856-nucleotide long non-coding RNA. RefSeq lists it as uncharacterized. The record is from RefSeq and is a predicted model, not a curated record. The transcript is spliced from 5 exons. Lineage: Eukaryota; Metazoa; Chordata; Mammalia; Primates; Hominidae.